AAAUAUUUUAAAUUGAAAAUUGAAUUCAUUCAUUGUAUUCAUAUAGGGUCAAGGAGUGUAGCUGUAAAAAAUCAUCAAAAUCGGAGUUAAAAUAGCCGUUAAAUCGUGAUUUUUCGUUUAUAACCGUCGAAAAGCUUUGUCCCGUUACUUGAUCUCUGAAUGUUUGUUUUUUGUGAUUUUUUGCUGAUGUGAUCUCGAAGCAUAUACAAACAAGUUUGACGGUUGGGAUCGUUGAAAUUUGUUUCGGAGAAUUCGUAUCCCAUCAAAACAAUAGAUUGACUAACACUUAGAGUUUAUUUAUACUUUCAUUAAGUAUAACAUAAGAUUUUGUGGUAUCCACUUGUAUAAAUAUUUUAAAUUGAAGAUCAAAUUCAUUCAUUGUAUUCAUAUAGGGUCAAGGAGUGUAGUUGUAAAAAAUCAUCAAAAUCGGAGUUAAAAUAACCGUUAAAUCGUGAUUUUUCAUUUAUAACCGUCGAAAAGCUUUGUCCCGUUACUUGAUCUGUGAAUGUUUGUGUUUUGUGAUUUUUUGCUGAUGUGAUCUCGAAUCAUAUACAAACAAGUUUGACCGUUGGGAUCGUUGAAAUUUGUUUCGGAGAGUUCGUAUCCCAUCAAAACAAUAGAUUGACUAACACUUCAGAGUUUAUUUAUACUUUCAUUAAGUAUAACAUAAGAUUUUGUGGUAUCCACUUGUGUAAAUGUUUUAAAUUGAAGAUCGAAUUCAUUCAUUGUAUUCAUAUAGGGUCAAGGAGUGUAGCUGUAAAGAAUCAUCAAAAUCGAAGUUAAAAUAACCGUUAAAUCGUGAUUUUUCGUUCAUAACCGUCGAAAAGCUUUGUCCCAUUACUUGGUCGCUGAAUGUUUGUUUUUUGUGAUUUUUUGCUGAUGUGAUCUCGAAGCAUAGACAAACAAGUUUGACGGUUGGGAUCGUUGAAAUUAGUUUCAGAGAAUUCGUAUCCCAUCAAAACAAUAGAUUGACUAACAGUUAAAGUUUAUUUAUACUUUCAGUAAGUAUAACAUAAAUUUUUGUGGUAUCCACUCGUGUAAAUAUUUUAAAUUGAAGAUCGAAUUCAUUCAUUGUAUUGAUAUAGGGUCAAGGAGUGUAGCUGUAAAAAAUCAUUAAAAUCGGAGUUAAAAUAACCGUUAAAUCGUGAUUUUUCGUUUAUAACUGUCGAAAUUAGUUUCAUAGAAUUCGUAUCCAAUCAAGUUCAAUGGUGUGUGUAUAUAUAUAUAUA
RNAcentral lists this long non-coding RNA (1229 nucleotides) under Malus domestica (apple). RNAcentral's name for it is "long non-coding RNA (MDOM_LNC018241)". The record is from RNAcentral. Lineage: Eukaryota; Viridiplantae; Streptophyta; Magnoliopsida; Rosales; Rosaceae.